UAGGGAAUCUUCGGCAAUGGACGAAAGUCUGACCGAGCAACGCCGCGUGAGUGAAGAAGGUUUUCGGAUCGUAAAAACUCUGUUGUUAGAGAAGAACGUUGCAUAGAGUGGAAAAUUAUGCAAGUGACGGUAUCUAACCAGAAAGGGACGGCUAACUACGUGCCAGCAGCCGCGGUAAUACGUAGGUCCCCGAGCGUUGUCCGGAUUUAUUGGGCGUAAAGCGAGCGCAGGUGGUUUAAUAAGUCUGAUGUAAAAAGGCAGUGGCUCAACCAUUGUGUGCAUUGGAAACUGUUAGACUUGAGUGCAGUAGAGGAGAGUGGAAUUCCAUGUGUAGCGGUGAAAUGCGUAGAUAUAUGGAGGAACACCGGUGGCGAAAAGCGGCUCUCUGGACUGUCACUGACACUGAGGCUCGAAAAGCGUGGGGUAGCAAAAC
This 433-nucleotide ribosomal RNA is filed under the name uncultured bacterium. RNAcentral describes it as "partial 16S ribosomal RNA". It matches the Rfam family "Bacterial small subunit ribosomal RNA", at positions 355 to 774 of the family's 1533-position model. The record is from RNAcentral.